Molecule: transfer RNA, 56 nt
Filed under: Pallisentis celatus
Lineage: Eukaryota; Metazoa; Acanthocephala; Eoacanthocephala; Gyracanthocephala; Quadrigyridae
Description: tRNA-Thr
Source: RNAcentral
GCGGUCUAAGGUGUUUAUUUUGUAAUUAGAUUAGUUGACCGUAAGUAUAGGAUUCU